RNAcentral lists this ribosomal RNA (464 nucleotides) under uncultured Lactococcus sp. Its description in RNAcentral is "bacterial SSU rRNA". It matches the Rfam family "Bacterial small subunit ribosomal RNA", at positions 338 to 795 of the family's 1533-position model. The record is from RNAcentral. Lineage: Bacteria; Bacillati; Bacillota; Bacilli; Lactobacillales; Streptococcaceae.
CCUACGGGAGGCAGCAGUAGGGAAUCUUCGGCAAUGGACGAAAGUCUGACCGAGCAACGCCGCGUGAGUGAAGAAGGUUUUCGGAUCGUAAAACUCUGUUGGUAGAGAAGAACGUUGGUGAGAGUGGAAAGCUCAUCAAGUGACGGUAACUACCCAGAAAGGGACGGCUAACUACGUGCCAGCAGCCGCGGUAAUACGUAGGUCCCGAGCGUUGUCCGGAUUUAUUGGGCGUAAAGCGAGCGCAGGUGGUUUAUAAAGUCGGUUGAAAAGGCAGGGGGGUAACCAGUUGUUGCAUUUGGAACCGGGAGGAUUGAGGGGAGGAGGGGAGAGUGGAAAUCCAUGGGUAGCGGUGAAAUUGGUAGAUAUAUGGAGGAACACCGGAGGCGAAAGCGGCUCUCUGGCCUGUAACUGACACUGAGGCUCGAAAGCGUGGGGAGCAAACAGGAUUAGAUACCCUAGUAGUC